CCCUUAGAUGUUCUGGGCCGCACGCGCGCUACACUGAUUCAUGCAACAAGUUUUGUCCUUGGCUGAUAGGCCUGGGUAAUCUUUGAACAUGAAUCGUGAUGGGGAUAGAUGAUUGCAAUUAUUCAUCUUCAACGAGGAAUUCCUAGUAAACGCAAGUCAUCAGCUUGCAUUGAUUACGUCCCUGCCCUUUGUACACACCGCCCGUCGCACCUACCGAUUGAAUGGUCCGGUGAAAUCUUCGGAUCUGAGAGAUGUCUGAUUAAUUUCGGACGCCUUUUGGAAAAGUUGUUUAAACCUUACCAUUUAGAGGAAGGUGAAGUCGUAACA
This 327-nucleotide ribosomal RNA is filed under the name uncultured eukaryote. RNAcentral's name for it is "partial 18S ribosomal RNA". It matches the Rfam family "Eukaryotic small subunit ribosomal RNA", at positions 1470 to 1796 of the family's 1831-position model. The record is from RNAcentral.